This is a non-coding RNA of Schizosaccharomyces pombe (fission yeast), 333 nucleotides long. NCBI's taxonomy places the organism in Eukaryota, Fungi, Ascomycota, Schizosaccharomycetes, Schizosaccharomycetales, Schizosaccharomycetaceae. The record is from the annotation of a GenBank genome assembly.
UUUAACAUUCGUCUCGCUGAAAGCGUCUAUAGGAUUCAAAGAUGGCGAGCCGUCUAUUUACGAAGAUAGCGCAAGUAAACGGGAUUAUUUGUUUCGUCCACCCAGUUGUAUCCAAUCUCUUCCAAAACUGAAUGAAGUUUUUCCACUUGGCCAUCAAAAACUCUAAGGCCAGCAAGCACACUAGCUAUAUCUCCACCACAAUUACGAUAAUGGAAAAGGGAAAUGCUGCAAACUUCCUUUAUACUCCUCAAAAACUUACAUAAAGCUCCAGGGCGUUCAGGGAAAUCCAAUCGGUACAAACGCUCUUUUGAAACAGAUGAUUUUCCUCCAAUA